This is a long non-coding RNA of Phycodurus eques (leafy seadragon), 1101 nucleotides long. RefSeq lists it as uncharacterized. NCBI's taxonomy places the organism in Eukaryota, Metazoa, Chordata, Actinopteri, Syngnathiformes, Syngnathidae. The record is from RefSeq and is a predicted model, not a curated record. The transcript is spliced from 3 exons.
GGCGUGUAUGCAAGUCACCAGCUGGCUUUCCUGUGGUCACCUCAUAGCAAGUUUGCCAUUUUCAGCAUGUCUCUUUUACCAAGAGUUCCCAAGAGGAGAGCACGGCUACUGGUGACCCCGGCCGACGACAACCCCUGGCCGAGUACAUCUCUGAGUAGCAGAUGAGGAGGAGAGAGCUGACAGACUCAGUUUAGAGUAAUCACAUAUUUUGAUGAAUAAAUUUCAGUGAGGUGACCCCAGCUUCAUGUAUUGACAUCUGGGAAAGCUCCUCCGACUCUUCAACGACCCUGUUUAACGGACUGGUGUCUGCCAUAACUGCAGACACAUUACAAACCUCAUGGACACCAUCUUGAAAGAGGGAGUUUUACGCAGAGCCAGACAAAUGUGGAAUGACAUCCGGACAGCUGAUGACCUUCGUGACUUCGAAGAGAACAACAGACAAUUCCACCAAGGCCGCUUAUUGCCAAUAUGUAAUGUGGAAAAUCUACAAGGACAUUAUAUAGGAUUCAGACAAAGCAGAUAACAAGGAACCACAUUUCAUAUUUUCAAAGCAUUGCUGCAGUAGAAAUUUGCAAGUUAUAUUACUUUAUAAUUAUUUGCUGAUCCAUUUGAAACAUCUUUGUUUUUAAAUUACUUCCAGGAAUGUCUGAGCCGGCACGGUAGACGAUUGGUUAGCACAUCUGCCUCACACUUCUGGGGACCAGGGUUCAAAUCCCGGCUCCGCCUGUGUGGAGUUUGCAUGUUCUCCCCGUUCCUCCGUGGGUUUUCUCCAGGCACUCCGAUUUCCUCCCACAUCCCAAAAACAUGCGUGGUAGGUUGAUUGAAGACUCUAAAUUGCCCAUAGAUGUGAAUGUGAGUGUGAAUGGUUGUUUGUUUCUAUGUGACCUGCGAUUGGCUGGCGACCGGUUCAGAGUAUACCUCGCCUCCCGCCCGAAGAUUGCUAGGAUAGGCUCCAGCAGUCCGCGACCCCAUUGAGGAUAAGCGGUAAAGAAAAUGGGUGGAUGGAUGGAAUGUCUGCCCAUUUACCUCUGCUAUUUUGAAAUUGUACAAUUGUUAUAAAUAAAGACCUGAAAAUGAAUGGUUCCCUCUUCACAAUUGCCA